Molecule: transfer RNA, 76 nt
Filed under: Burkholderiales bacterium
Lineage: Bacteria; Pseudomonadati; Pseudomonadota; Betaproteobacteria; Burkholderiales
Also listed under: 2 other names
Description: tRNA-Thr
Rfam family: tRNA
About the family: Transfer RNA (tRNA) molecules are approximately 80 nucleotides in length. Their secondary structure includes four short double-helical elements and three loops (D, anti-codon, and T loops).
Source: RNAcentral
GCCGGCUUAGCUCAGUUGGUAGAGCAGCGGUUUUGUAAACCGAAGGUCGCGGGUUCGAUCCCUGCAGCCGGCACCA